RNAcentral lists this transfer RNA (77 nucleotides) under Actomonas aquatica. RNAcentral describes it as "Opitutus sp. WL0086 tRNA-Pro". It matches the Rfam family "tRNA". Rfam says of the family: Transfer RNA (tRNA) molecules are approximately 80 nucleotides in length. Their secondary structure includes four short double-helical elements and three loops (D, anti-codon, and T loops). The record is from RNAcentral. Lineage: Bacteria; Pseudomonadati; Verrucomicrobiota; Opitutia; Opitutales; Opitutaceae.
CGGGACGUAGCUUAGCCUGGUAGAGCGCCUGCUUUGGGAGCAGGAGGUCGCGAGUUCGAAUCUCGCCGUCCCGACCA